GUGGUUGUGGCUCAGUGGUGGAGCGCUUGCCUAGCAUGUGUGAGGCACAGGGUUCGAUCCUCAGCACCACA
Molecule: transfer RNA, 71 nt
Filed under: Marmota monax (woodchuck)
Lineage: Eukaryota; Metazoa; Chordata; Mammalia; Rodentia; Sciuridae
Description: tRNA.Ala
Source: RNAcentral